This 1082-nucleotide ribosomal RNA is filed under the name Epithamnolia xanthoriae. RNAcentral's name for it is "SSU rRNA". It matches the Rfam family "Eukaryotic small subunit ribosomal RNA", at positions 62 to 1152 of the family's 1831-position model. Lineage: Eukaryota; Fungi; Ascomycota; Leotiomycetes; Phacidiales. The record is from RNAcentral.
AGUAUAAGCAAUCUAUACCGUGAAACUGCGAAUGGCUCAUUAAAUCAGUUAUCGUUUAUUUGAUAGUACCUUACUACUUGGAUAACCGUGGUAAUUCUAGAGCUAAUACAUGCUAAAAACCUCGACUUCGGAAGGGGUGUAUUUAUUAGAUAAAAAACCAAUGCCCUUCGGGGCUCCUUGGUGAUUCAUGAUAACUUAACGAAUCGCAUGGCCUUGUGCCGGCGAUGGUUCAUUCAAAUUUCUGCCCUAUCAACUUUCGAUGGUAGGAUAGUGGCCUACCAUGGUUUCAACGGGUAACGGGGAAUUAGGGUUCUAUUCCGGAGAGGGAGCCUGAGAAACGGCUACCACAUCCAAGGAAGGCAGCAGGCGCGCAAAUUACCCAAUCCCGACACGGGGAGGUAGUGACAAUAAAUACUGAUACGGAGCUCUUUUGGGUUUCGUAAUUGGAAUGAGUACAAUUUAAAUCCCUUAACGAGGAACAAUUGGAGGGCAAGUCUGGUGCCAGCAGCCGCGGUAAUUCCAGCUCCAAUAGCGUAUAUUAAAGUUGUUGCAGUUAAAAAGCUCGUAGUUGAACCUUGGGCCUGGCUGGCCGGUCCGCCUCACCGCGUGCACUGGUCCGGCCGGGCCUUUCCUUCUGGGGAACCGCAUGCCCUUCACUGGGUGUGUCGGGGAUCCAGGACUUUUACUUUGAAAAAAUUAGAGUGUUCAAAGCAGGCCUAUGCUCGAAUACAUUAGCAUGGAAUAAUAGAAUAGGACGUGUGGUUCUAUUUUGUUGGUUUCUAGGACCGCCGUAAUGAUUAAUAGGGAUAGUCGGGGGCAUCAGUAUUCAAUUGUCAGAGGUGAAAUUCUUGGAUUUAUUGAAGACUAACUACUGCGAAAGCAUUUGCCAAGGAUGUUUUCAUUAAUCAGUGAACGAAAGUUAGGGGAUCGAAGACGAUCAGAUACCGUCGUAGUCUUAACCAUAAACUAUGCCGACUAGGGAUCGGGCGAUGUUAUUAUUUUGACUCGCUCGGCACCUUACGAGAAAUCAAAGUUUUUGGGUUCUGGGGGGAGUAUGGUCGCAAGGCUGAAACUUAAAGAAA